Molecule: non-coding RNA, 75 nt
Organism: Serendipita vermifera MAFF 305830
Lineage: Eukaryota; Fungi; Basidiomycota; Agaricomycetes; Sebacinales; Serendipitaceae
Source: the annotation of a GenBank genome assembly
GGCCCCUUAGCUCAGUGGCAAGAGCAUCUCCAUUCCUUGGGGGCAAGUUCCGAGGUUCGGUUCCUCGAGGGGCCA